UGAUCAAAAACUAACUCACCCGGACAGCCGGUGACUGCAUUGCCUAGGUAGAACCAUCAGAAGUCGUGAUAGAACCGUCGUUAGCCGGUAAUUGCGGAGGCUUGCCUCUUUGACUUACAUACCGUACGUCUCCACUGUCCACAUCUCUUGGUUUUUUAAAACCUUCUUAUGAUACUAAAAUAAAAAACUUUUUUUUACUUUUUUGAAAGGGCAAAAGCAAAAGCAAGAUGACAAAAAU
Molecule: long non-coding RNA, 238 nt
Filed under: Gossypium barbadense (sea-island cotton)
Lineage: Eukaryota; Viridiplantae; Streptophyta; Magnoliopsida; Malvales; Malvaceae
Description: long non-coding RNA (GBAR_LNC007331)
Source: RNAcentral